Molecule: ribosomal RNA, 119 nt
Filed under: Helianthus annuus (common sunflower)
Lineage: Eukaryota; Viridiplantae; Streptophyta; Magnoliopsida; Asterales; Asteraceae
Source: RNAcentral
GGUUGCGAUCAUACCAGCACCAAUGCACCGGAUCCCAUCAGAACUACGCAGUUAAGCGUGCUUGGGCGAGAGUAGUACUAGGAUGGGUGACCCCCUGGGAAGUCCUCGUGUUGCAACCC